GCGUGCGUAGCUCAGCUGGAUAGAGCGCUUGCCUCCGGAGCAAGAGGUCGUGGGUUCGAAUCCCGCCGCGCGCA
This 74-nucleotide transfer RNA is filed under the name bacterium. Its description in RNAcentral is "tRNA-Arg". It matches the Rfam family "tRNA". Rfam says of the family: Transfer RNA (tRNA) molecules are approximately 80 nucleotides in length. Their secondary structure includes four short double-helical elements and three loops (D, anti-codon, and T loops). RNAcentral also lists the same sequence under 3 other names. The record is from RNAcentral.